Molecule: transfer RNA, 67 nt
Filed under: zebrafish metagenome
Rfam family: tRNA
About the family: Transfer RNA (tRNA) molecules are approximately 80 nucleotides in length. Their secondary structure includes four short double-helical elements and three loops (D, anti-codon, and T loops).
Source: RNAcentral
GGGAGUAGCUCAGGGGUAGAGCGCCACGUUGCCAACGUGGUUGUCGAGGGUUCAAAUCCCUUCUCCC